This 253-nucleotide ribosomal RNA is filed under the name uncultured bacterium. RNAcentral's name for it is "partial 16S ribosomal RNA". It matches the Rfam family "Bacterial small subunit ribosomal RNA", at positions 524 to 776 of the family's 1533-position model. The record is from RNAcentral.
UACGUAGGGUGCAAGCGUUGUCCGGAAUUAUUGGGCGUAAAGAGCGCGCAGGCGGUCGAUCAAGUCGCGUGUGAAAGCCCCCGGCUCAACUGGGGAGGGUCACGCGAUACUGAUCGACUCGAAGGCAGGAGAGGGUAGUGGAAUUCCCGGUGUAGUGGUGAAAUGCGUAGAUAUCGGGAGGAACACCAGUGGCGAAGGCGACUACCUGGCCUGUUCUUGACGCUGAGGCGCGAAAGCUAGGGGAGCAAACGGG